RNAcentral lists this long non-coding RNA (2757 nucleotides) under Mus musculus (house mouse). RNAcentral describes it as "RIKEN cDNA 5830444B04 gene". Lineage: Eukaryota; Metazoa; Chordata; Mammalia; Rodentia; Muridae. The record is from RNAcentral.
GGCGGCUCCCAACAAAGUAAGGCGCUUCCUACACCCAUUUCCAGCUGGCCAAGUAGGACCAAGAUAAUCAUCACGGAGGAAGAGGAGAGGUGGGGAUGCCUCUCAGAUCAAAGUCUUCAAAGGCAAACCAGCUGCAUGUUUGUGAAGAUCGUGUUUGGCUCCGGCUCAAGCAGACAGCCCUGAAUGAGAUUCUUGGGGUAGCUACUGAAAACUGGCAGCAGAAGCAGAGCCGGGUUUAUUUCAGAGGGCGUGUUAAGAAGCUGGACCCUUUCCUGGAAAAUCAGCUCCAGUGGAUUAAGAGCUCAUUUAUGAAAAUGAAACCACCACAGAGGCAGUGGCCAAGAGGGGAGAUGACAUCAAGGUUCCUAAAUAAGACACCAGACAUACUAGGCCUGCUUAUCAAACCACAAUUAACAGCAGACAACAAUAGCCAACAAGCAACAGCAGCCAAAACCAACCAACAACCCAACAAUAACCCACCUAUCAGAGCUCUAGCAUUUAUAUAAUACCCUCUGAAAAGUCUCCAGAAUUCCAGACACCCAUACACUCACAGAAACCAUAUGCAGCUGGCAAAAUCACGCCCCUGCUAGAGCAUGAGGCAAAUCAUAGUCAGCUAUGGUGGGCAGUCUGAAGCAGCCCCGUACCUCACACCUAGGAUUAAGACAAAAAUAUAUUCUUAAAUAUUCCUGUGGGUUUUUGGGUUUUUUUUUUUUACUUGGUUUGGUUUUUUUUGUUUUUCGAGACAAAGUUUCUCUGUAUAGCCCUGGCUGUCCUGGAACUCACUCUGUAGACCAGGCUGGCCUUGAACUCAGAAAUCCACCUGCCUCUGCCUCCCAAGUGUGCCACCACGCCCGGCUAUUCCUGUGGUUUUUUUUUUUUUUUUUUAAGAAACCAAAACUCCCAAUUUGUCACUAUAGAUAUUAUUUUAAGAUAAACAAGCAGAUUACAGAAAGAAUGAGUCUGCUCUGGUUUUAUUUUGAGAUAGGGUUUCUUAGUUUAACCCCGGCACUCACCAGGCUGGCCUCAAACUCACAGAGAUGGCCUGCCUCUGCCUCCCAAGUGAUUGAAGGUGUGCGCCAUUAUCACCCAGCAAGUUUGGCUCUCCGUUCUACUCCACAAAUACACUCUUCAUUUUGACCCAAAGAUUUUGACUCACACUUGGGUUCAUUUGGUCUGCUGACAUUCAGGCCCAUACUUACAUACUUCCUGUCCCCCAACGCUUAGCAGCAAACUGCACUUGGUAUAACCCUAGAUUUGUCUUUCUCUUCUUUUCAGUCUCACAGCACCUUGAGGCUCGUCCUUAUGAAUUAGGACUUGGUUGUCCUGCAUCAGCAAAGCUGUGUGACCUUCUUGGAAACCAGAGAGGCAGGAUUGAUGCUGACGCUUCAUAGGCUGUGGUAACCACGUGACUCACCGCCACGUGUCCACGCAGAAAAGUUACCCCUUGUUCAGCGCAUCCUCAGUGCAGCCCCAAGGCUGAAGUCGCCAGUACCCACCUCUCUGGGCAGCCCAGUGAUGUCCCUCAGCGAUGAGACUUCAGCAAAGGUCCCCCAAGAGUGGGCUGCACUGUUGGCAAACCUCCUCAGGAACGGCUCCUCGGUGGUGGUCCCUCAGCAGCAACAACCUCUCAAGAAUGGUCCCUGGCGACUGCCCCUUAGCAACAGCUCCUCACAAAUGACCCCUAGAAAGUGGUCCAGUAACUAGGUCGCCUCCCAGAAACAGAUCCUCGGCGACGGUUCCUCAGCACUGGCCCCCGCAGAAUCAGUUCCUUAAGCCGCUAGACCAUGGCCUCUUAACGGCCCGACUGCCCCCAGCCACCGUGGGUCUGAGGCUGCGUAGUUUGGGCGCGCAGCUCCAUGGCAACGGAAGGCUGCUUUGGGGUAGCGGGCGGGGCUGAGGCUGCGGAGGGAGAGCUUGUGCGCAGGCGUAGUGCAACAGCGGGGGUAAAGUGGGACGAGCAUCGCGGAGGGCAGAGUCAAAGCUGACUGUUGCCCAGACGAUUCUCCUGGAGACUGGGGCAGGUGCUCGAGAACUUGUCUAAAGCCAGUUGAAACUUGGGUCAACUGCUUACUUAAAAGACCAUUUACGCAGAAGUUAGGAUCUCCUGCGUCUCUUGGAUCUGAAUUCUGGCUCUCCCAGGGCUUUGCAGCCUGUGUUGUGCCCUCUAGGUGGUGACAUCUGACUCCUCUGGAUAACUCACAGGACUCUUUGGAUUGUUUUUGGUCGUUUAAGUUGGCGUGGUCACUAGUCCGGGCAGGAGGUGGGCUCAACAGUGGACAGGACAUGUUCCCUUUCCUCAGAGUCGCAGGGAUGACUGGCAACUCCUGUAGUUUUGUCUUGGAGAUGGAGAACCUUCAGCGUUAAGAAGUCCUCAAAAUAAUACAGAGCCUGUGGAAAUGUCAGUGGAGAUUGGUGGGGGGUACCUCUGCACUCCCUUCAGAUACUUUGCCUGUGAAAUACCACUGCAAUACUGUAUAGGUGUGUGUGUGGCUGGGGAUCGAACCCAGGUGUUCUAUAAGUUUAGAGCUUUGUGUAUGGAAGCCGGAUGUCCUAGUAAAGCAAUUUGGGAAAGAUAGCCAGUUGGUUUGUAACCUUUAGCUGAGGGAGAAUGUGAACUGGGCCUCCUACUCUGGGUUGACCCUGGUAUAUGGCUGAGCAGAGAGGGUUGUGAAGUAACCAUAUCCAAUACUAAUAUUUGUGGUAUGAAGUAUAAUCCCCACUAUAGUAAAAUAAGUGAAUAAAUUGGUCUUCUCUUUC